CGAACACAAGCCUCGCAUGAAGGUACCCCAGUACAAGUUUAAAAAAUGAAUGGAAGUAUAUAUGGAAGUAGUUUAGUGCCUAAAAUCUGGGGUUAAAUAUAGUUUCCUGAUCUUUCUUAUAUCUCUCAGAUAUACUUCAGAACAAACUUUCUUUAGAUUUUUUGGGGACUAUCUGUUGUUCCAUGCAGUGAAUCUGUUUCUAUAAGCUAAUAGCAGUAAGGCCAAAUUCAAUGUUUCAUCAAAUAUUCUUUUUAAUAUAUAUUUUGGAUACCUUAAGAGGUCUUAAAAUUCUAAAUCAAAUAGCUAAAUGAUCAUUGGUAUGGCCGUAUUAAAACAACUCCAUAUGCUAGCUUAAUAACCCUCCACCCUGUUAAUAAAACACAAUUUUCCACCACCAUGCUAGUGGCUGAUGCUACUUCCUGAUGUUCAGCCAAUCAGGUUGCAACAGUCGGUUGUGUACCCCUGGCUGAACGCUGUGUACAACAUCAGGAAGUAGCAUUAGCCAUUCGAAAAUGUUUUAUUAAGGCAGUACAUAUUUUCCCCAUAUUUUCUUUUUUGCCGGCUCGGCAUUAAAGCUAGUUAACGAGGAAACUGACGCCUUUGCAGCCUGAAAAAAUAGGUUUUAUGUACGAGCCAAUGGCCAUGGGACACAAGUGUAUAGCCGGCUGAAUACAUUCCUGUGGGACGCAGAUGACAAACGACGUACAAGGAAUAAUAACGCCAUCUGCCAGCCGGUUGGUCUACCUCUGGCCGGGGUAAACGAAGUGGAAACGUUCUGUAUUUAUUGCUCCAUUCGUUUGUGUUAGGAGAACAUGUGAACGGGAUCAUAUUUGGUUUAUAUUCAAACUUGGGCUGCCUAGACCUUUUCUAUCCAAAAUGAUUAACCGGAAUUAAUAAAUAAAAACAACAGCUGACAUAGGUUGUGAGUUAAAUGUUGUAUUAGGCCUCCAGUUGCAGAGGGCAGGCCUCCACAAUGCAAACUUGCAUAAAGCAAGCUAAGCCCUGUGAGUUCUAUUAUCCAAUCAUAUUGCUGUAUCUAUGUCUGUGUAGAGAAAAACCCUGUUAGUCUAGCUUUAAAAUAUAACUCAUAUGAACAGGUUGCUGCAGUUUGACAGGGUUUUCAUCCUCCCCAUGGUCAGGUUCUUUUUCUCCUGUUAUUAAAAACAUGUGACCUGAUUAGCAAAACGCUGCUCUCAUCAUAGCCCAUAUUAAAGCUUUUUUUUUUUUUACAACUGAUGAAUCAUGUCAUGUCAUACCAUAUAAGGUCCAGAGUUUUACCUCGUUAGGUUACCAGAUCAGGAAAAACUACGGGCCCCAGGAAAAAAAGAAUCACCCCACCACUCUGGGACCUCUGGGACCUCCGAGGCAUAGUAAUAACUGUCAGUAAAUGUGAGAGGGAGAGCCCUAUACAGAAACCAGCAGGUGGCAUCAGGUCCUGGUACAUGCAUUUCCCAUCAACUACUAUGGAUGAACCAUAUGAGGAAUACAGCGUUUUACAUUGUACAAAUAGCGUCA
Molecule: long non-coding RNA, 1515 nt
Filed under: Salmo salar (Atlantic salmon)
Lineage: Eukaryota; Metazoa; Chordata; Actinopteri; Salmoniformes; Salmonidae
Description: lncRNA (ENSSSAG00000095979.1)
Source: RNAcentral